This is an RNA transcript of Aphis gossypii (cotton aphid), 4499 nucleotides long. It is a transcript of the gene named probable multidrug resistance-associated protein lethal(2)03659, with no coding region annotated. The record is from RefSeq and is a predicted model, not a curated record. NCBI's taxonomy places the organism in Eukaryota, Metazoa, Arthropoda, Insecta, Hemiptera, Aphididae. The transcript has 27 exons.
UUACAGCAAUUGUUGAUCAAUUGAUUUGUAGUUGAGAGCGUCUCAUGACUAGUUUCAGUUUACAUUCUGUUUAAUUAGUAUAUAUAUAUAUAUAUUUAUAGAACAUAAACAAAUAAUUACAAGAGUUGAUUAAAUUAAAACAUCCGAAAAUAUUAUAAAUAUGGACGCAACUUUCAAAGAAGAAAAACCACUCAAUCCAAGAAGUAAAGCAAAUAUUUUUGAAAUUGUUACUUUUAGUUGGAUUUUAAAACUUAUUAAAAAAGGAUUAAAAAAAGAAUUAGAUUUAAUUGAUUUAUACACAAUUUUGGAAGAAGAUUCAUCUGCAUUACUGGGUAACAAAUUAGAAAAGUUAUGGAAGGAAGAGUUGAUAAAUUCAAAAAAGAAAAAUCGAAAUCCCAGUCUUUUAAGGACACUAUUUCGAAUGUAUGGAACACAGCUUAUUUGUAUUACGAUUAUAUUAACAAUAUUAGAAACUUGCAUAAGCAUUGGUUUAUCGACUAUUGUUGGAAAAAUAGUAAGCUAUUUUGAAACUUAUAAACCAACCAAUCAAAAACAAGAUGGAAUUUAUUUAGCAGUUUGCCUAAUUGCAGUUUUAUUAAUGAGGUCAAUUAAUUUUAACACUUUCGAUAUGAUUUUAUCUCAUACUGCGAUGAAACUUCGGAUUGCGACUUGCAAUAUUAUUUACAAAAAGUCGUUGCGACUUAAAACUAAUUCUGAAGAUCAAACAACGACCGGACAAAUAAUAAACCUUAUGUCAAACGACGUAAAUCGAUUUGAUAUAUCGAUUAUAUACGUGCCAUAUCUGUUGUUGGGUGUUUUACAAACAAUUGUAGUGACUUAUUUUUUGUGGCAAGAAGUAGGGGUGUCAUCAGUACUUGGCGUGGCUACAUUAUUUGUAUUUAUACCAUUACAAAUAUGGUUGGGGUCAAAAACGUCCGAAAAUCGAUUAAAAACAGCCAAAAGAACGGACAAAAGAGUACAUUUAAUGAACGAAAUAAUUUCGAGCUUACAAAUAAUAAAAAUGUACACUUGGGAACCAUUUUUUAACAAUCUUACAACAUUUGCCAGAAAGAAAGAAAUGAAUAAAAUUAUAAAAUCAGUGUAUAUCAAAGGAAUUUUGUCAUCGUUUUUUUUAUUUAACACAAGAAUCGCAUUAUUUGUGAAUUUAUUAGCAUUCGUAUUACUUGGAAACAAUAUAAUCUCAUCAAAAGUAUUUGUAAUCACUUCGUAUUAUAACAUUUUACGAGGAACAUUGACUGUAGGUUUUCCUCCGGGCAUUGGUCUAUCUGCUGAAUUACUUGUGUCAAUAAAACGAAUUGAGGAUUUCCUUUUAUAUGAAGAAAAAGAUAAACAAAUAACGACAAACCAAAUAAAACCAACAGAUAUUUGUAGAAAAACUAUAAACAACGGUGUAGUGUUGAGUAAUGGGAGUAAUCAAAUCAAUAUUGGAAUUCAGUCGACUAAUUUCGGCAUAGUCAUGUCAAACGCUUCGGCCAAGUGGACAGAUGGUCAAAUUGACAAUACCUUAGAAAAUAUCAAUUUAACCGUAACGCCCGGUCGAUUGGUUGCAAUAAUUGGUCGAGUAGGAGCAGGAAAAAGCUCGUUAAUACAAGCUAUUUUACAAGAACUACCACUUUCAGGUGGAAGUAUUUCCGUACGUGGUAUAGUGUCAUAUGCAUCACAAGAACCGUGGUUAUUCCCAGGUUCUAUUAAACAAAAUAUUAUUUUUGGUUCACCAAUGAACAAAGACCGUUAUAACAAAGUAAUAGAUGUAUGUGCGUUAAAAACAGAUUUAGAGCAGUUUCGGUACGGCGAUCAGACGAUUGUAGGAGAAAAAGGAUUAUCCCUCAGUGGUGGACAACGUGCAAGGAUAAAUUUAGCUAGAGCCAUAUAUAAACAAGCGGAUAUUUAUUUAUUGGAUGAUCCUUUAUCGGCAGUUGACACACGUGUCGGCAAGCAUUUAUUUGAAAAGUGUAUUAAAGAGUAUCUCAAAGAAAAGACUUGUAUACUGAUAACCCAUCAAAUUCAAUACUUGAUUAGUGUAGAUCAAAUUGUUUUAAUGGAAAACGCGAAAGUUACAGUGGAAGGUACAUAUCAAGAGCUUCAAAACUCUGGUUUAGACUUUACAAAACUACUAGGAUCUUCAACGGAAACAGCAAUUUCGACCGAAAAGGAAUAUAACGAUACAAAAUCCAGUAUCGAAAGUUCUGAAUCACAUUCUGCACAUAUUGCUCAAAAGUCAUCCGUUUCUAUUGUCACGUCAUCUGUCAAAGAAACCGAGAUCAAUGGUGUUCAAGCUGGACCAUUUGACAUGGCUGAAACGCGUUCUUCGGGGAAUAUCGGAUUUAGUAUCUAUUCGUCGUAUGUUUUUGCCGGUGGCCAUUUUUGCAAAGUACUGUGUUUAUUGUCAGCCUGCAUUUUUACUCAAAUACUUGCGUCUGGCAGUGAUUGCUGGAUAACUUAUUGGGUUAAUCUAGAAGACCAUUAUUUUGGUUUAACUGAGCAAUUAGUUGGCACCAAAAAUGAUACGUUCACAACAAUCCAACCCAUUGAUGAAUCAAUCCCGUGGAUUGUAUCGAGAAAAACUUGUAUCAUUGUAUUUACUAUACUUACUCUUUUAAUUAUCAUAUCUGCCUUUACCGAAAUAGUGUUUUUGGUAUCUAUAUGCACCACAGCAUCCUCAAACCUUUAUAAUAGAAUGUAUAAUUCAAUUACAAGAGCAACGAUGGCAUUUUUGAAUAAAAAUCCAUCAGGUCGAAUUCUAAAUCGUUUUUCAAAAGACAUUGGAGUUAUUGACGAAACGUUGCCUCCAAUAUUUAUUGAUGUUGUUCAAAUCGGGUUGAUGGUGAUUGGAACUUUAAUAGUGGUGGGGAUUGUUAAUGCUUAUUUAAUCCUACCAACAUUUGUUAUAGUGGUAGUUUUUUUCAAAGUUAGAAACAUAUACAUGAUAGCAACUCGUAAUGUAAAACGUCUAGAAGGUGUUGCACGAAGUCCAAUGUUUACUCAUGUAAAUUCUUCACUUCAAGGACUGACAACAAUAAGAGCAUUUGAAGUAGAACAAAUACUUUUCCAAGAGUUUGCAAGCCAUCAAGAUUUACAUUCUUCAGCUUGGUUUUUAUUUCUGAGUUUAAGUAGAGCAUUUGGGUUUUGGUUAGAUAUUAUUUGUAUUUUUUAUACAAGUCUCAUAAUGUUUUUUUUCAUAUUUAUUGUUAAUGAUACACAAGGCGGGAAUGUUGGUCUAGCUAUUACACAAGCAAUUGGAUUAACUGGUAUGUUCCAAUGGGUAGUAAGACUGUCUGCGGAAUUAGAAAAUCAAAUGACGUCUGUUGAAAGAGUUCUAGAAUAUACAAAUGUACCACAAGAACCAGCUCUCGAAUCAGCUCCAAACAAAAAACCGCCCGAAGAAUGGCCAAAUAAAGGAAACAUCACAUUCAACAAAUUAUCUAUGCGUUACGAUUCAGACUCACCAUUUGUUUUAAAAAAUAUCAGUGUUGAAAUUGAGGCUAUGGAAAAGAUAGGAGUUGUUGGAAGAACUGGUGCUGGUAAAUCAUCUUUGAUUGGAGCAUUAUUCAGAUUAGCUCUUAACGAGGGUAGGAUCAUUAUUGAUGGAGUUGAAAUUCAUGAAUUGGGAUUACAUGACUUACGAUCCAAAAUUUCUAUCAUACCACAAGAACCAGUUUUGUUUUCAGGAACAAUGAGAAAAAACUUGGACCCAUUUGAUAAAUAUUCAGAUCAUAUUCUUUGGAAAGCUUUAGAUGAAGUGGAACUUAAAGAUGUCGUGGAAGAUUUAUCUGAUGGGCUGAACUCAAAAAUAUCUGAAGGUGGAUCUAAUUUGAGUGUCGGUCAAAGACAAUUAGUAUGCUUGGCUAGAGCUAUUGUACAAAAUAAUAAAAUUCUUGUAUUAGAUGAAGCCACUGCCAAUGUGGACCCACAAACUGACGGUUUGAUACAAAAUACAAUCAGAAAUAAAUUUCGAACAUGCACAGUAUUAACAAUUGCUCAUCGCUUAAACACAGUUAUGGAUUCUGACAGAAUACUUGUAAUGGACGCUGGUCAAAUAGUUGAAUUUGACCAUCCAUUUACUUUGUUGAAAAACAAAAAUGGAUAUUUGUAUAAAAUGGUAGAACAAACAGGCCCAAAUAACAUAAAAUUGUUACAUAGUGUAGCUACUGAGAGUUUUAAUAAUCGAUAAUGUACAGAAUGCUUUCCUGACGAAGAUAAAUAUGAAACUACAAUCAUAAAUAUGUAAUAGUAUAUUAUAUUAUUAUUUAUUUUGCUAUGAGGUUCAUUAUUAUUUUGUAUCCAUAAAAUGGUAUCUAGAAAGAAUUUUCAAUUAAAAUAAAAUUGGCGAUUAAUUGAUGUUAAUGAGACUGCUGCAAUCUAUAAAGAUCUUUAUUAAAGAAGUACGUAAAAUAAAAUAAUCUUUUCUUUGGACAUAAAUAAUAAUAAUACAAAAAUUAAUGAAGAACGACGGACACUGCAGAUUAGUCUUAGUUUUA